GAUGAACGCUGGCGGCGUGCUUAACACAUGCAAGUCGAACGGAAAGGCCGAAGCUUGCUUCGGUACUCGAGUGGCGAACGGGUGAGUAACACGUGGGUGAUCUGCCCUGUACUUCGGGAUAAGCUUGGGAAACUGGGUCUAAUACCGGAUAUGACGAUCUCUUGGAUGGGGUUGUGGAAAGCUUUUGCGGUAUGGGAUGAGCUCGCGGCCUAUCAGCUUGUUGGUGGGGUAAUGGCCUACCAAGGCGUCGACGGGUAGCCGGCCUGAGAGGGUGUACGGCUACAUUGGGACUGAGAUACGGCCCAGACUCCUACGGGAGGCAGUAGUGGGGAAUAUUGCACAAUGGGCGCAAGCCUGAUGCAGCGACGCCGCGUGGGGGAUGACGGCCUUCGGGUUGUAAACUCCUUUCGCAAUCGACGAAGCCUUUUGGUGACGGUAGGUUGAGAAGAAGCACCGGCUAACUACGUG
This 468-nucleotide ribosomal RNA is filed under the name uncultured bacterium. Its description in RNAcentral is "partial 16S ribosomal RNA". It matches the Rfam family "Bacterial small subunit ribosomal RNA", at positions 28 to 507 of the family's 1533-position model. The record is from RNAcentral.